GCCGAUGUAGCUCAGUUGGUAGAGCGCGUGAUUUGUAAUCUCGAAGUCGUGGGUUCAAAUCCCUCCGUCGGCU
Molecule: transfer RNA, 73 nt
Filed under: Candidatus Shikimatogenerans bostrichidophilus
Lineage: Bacteria; Pseudomonadati; Bacteroidota; Flavobacteriia; Flavobacteriales
Description: tRNA-Thr
Rfam family: tRNA
About the family: Transfer RNA (tRNA) molecules are approximately 80 nucleotides in length. Their secondary structure includes four short double-helical elements and three loops (D, anti-codon, and T loops).
Source: RNAcentral